Molecule: ribosomal RNA, 252 nt
Filed under: uncultured bacterium
Lineage: Bacteria
Description: partial 16S ribosomal RNA
Rfam family: Bacterial small subunit ribosomal RNA
Source: RNAcentral
UACAGAGGUCCCGAGCGUUGUUCGGAUUUAUUGGGCGUAAAGGGUGCGUAGGCGGCGGAGUAAGUUGGGUGUGAAAUCCCGGGGCUCAACCUCGGAAUGGCAUUCAAUACUGCUUCGCUAGAGUACUGGAGAGGAGGCUGGAAUUUACGGUGUAGCAGUGAAAUGCGUAGAUAUCGUAAGAAGGCCGGUGGCGAAAGCGAGCCUCUGGACAGUUACUGACGCUGAUGCACGAAGGCCAGGGGAGCAAACGGG